RNAcentral lists this ribosomal RNA (939 nucleotides) under Triticum aestivum (bread wheat). RNAcentral describes it as "partial small subunit ribosomal RNA". Lineage: Eukaryota; Viridiplantae; Streptophyta; Magnoliopsida; Poales; Poaceae. The record is from RNAcentral.
AUGCUGCCCCAGCCCCCGGAGCUCAACACUGUUGUCCGCCGCAUGGCGAACCACAACUUCGAUGACCCCAAGAAUCUAUGGAUCAUGGACUCCCGAAACGGCAGCAUCUUCACCCGACGUCGUGAAGGAAGAGAACUAGCAUAUGGAGUGCACCGCAGAGAACUAGCAUAUGGAUUGCACCGCCCGCUUUGCCCUGAGAGAGGCAUUAACGUCGUCCCAGCACUCCCAAGAGCCCAGGAUUACAAUCGCCAAUAUUUUGAUGCUAUUCUCUCCAAAGAAGAAGGCAAUGGCUUGUCCUACUUUUAUGUGUUGACGGAGUUGACUAAUCAGACAGAAAAUUUCACUUUACGCGUGUAUAUGUUACAAGGCAGUGUUUGGUGCUUGCAUACCUCGGCCACGGCCCAGCUCCAUCUUCCGCUACCCAAAGCAAAAGUUGUGCUUGUCGACAAUAAAAUCUAUAUGGUGGUCUCCCCCGCAGACGACAUUAUUGUCUUGGAUUUGACAACCUCAAGUUUGUCUAGAAUCCAGCACCCACCUGGAGUGAAGUAUGACAUUUUUCACACCUUCUUGUCACGGGCAGAUGAUCCUUCCGGUGUAUAUGUCAUCCAUGUCAAUGGCUUUAAACUUUGCAUCUGGCUCCACAAGGGGGACAACUGGUUGCUGGUUGAUACCAUUUGUCUGCAUGAGAUGUGUGCUAAUCUGAGGAUGCUAGAUAACACGCUUGAGGAUGCGCAUUCUGGUUAUUGCUAUGUAUGUCAUGCUGGGGAUAAUGCUGAGUUUGUGGUUUUGCAAAUGUGUGGAUGUAUAUUCUAUCUGGAUGUCAAGAACAGGACACUCCGUAAAUUGGUUGCUAAGGAUCAAUACUUCACUGAUGUCUAUCCGUUUAUGAUGGUUUGGCCUCCCACAUUCCCUAAGCUCAAGGAUGGUCCUGCAAGAUAG